This 653-nucleotide long non-coding RNA is filed under the name Androctonus crassicauda. Lineage: Eukaryota; Metazoa; Arthropoda; Arachnida; Scorpiones; Buthidae. The record is from RNAcentral.
CAAAAAUUAGCUUUCUUUAAACCCUCUUGUUUCCCAUUGAUUAUUAUUGUUCAGUUCUUUAUUUAAAAUAUAAAUAAAUAAAGCGGGAUGAGAAUUGUCUUUGUAUGAAAACAGUGAGAGAGCCAGACCGUGAGAAUGAAAGCUAAACAAUCAUCGGAAAACAUCAUCCAAGUGAUAUGAACCAAUGAAUCAUAUCUUUCCAGAGAGUAGAAGAGAAGUUAUUUUGUGCAAAACGACGACAGAACAAUGAUGCAAGCAUAAUGAUGGGAAAGCAACUUGUUCCAUCAGGGUGGCCAGUGGAGGCGACAGACGAUGAAAGCCAAGACGGCAAGGCUGACAGAGGGAUGACAAGUUGGACAAUGGCAAAGACGGCAUGGGUGACAACAAUGACAAUGAAAAUAGAACUGAACAGUGUGUAUAAAGGACGUUAUGAACAUUUAUUUGUAGGGAUAACCGUUGAUUAGAUUUAAGUAAUUAAUGUAAUUCUGGUAGACACACUCUCAGAUAUGUAAAGCUCAUGGAACUCACACACUUUCAAAACAUUGUAAUGAUGAUAUUGUAAAUUAGAUUUAGAUUAGAAUUAAGUUAGGCUUAAGUAGAAACUUUUGUUAAUUGCUAUAUCCUUUGUCAACUAUUAUCUUAUUAUUAACGAC